AAGACUGAAACUGACUCGGCAGGAUAUCGCAUCCUGGGCCUACUUAGUCUAUCAGGCAUAGACAUCAGAGUCAAAGUAGUUCGGACUGGGGAAACGACACAUGCUCGCUAGGAUAUCGCAUCCUAUGCAUACGUAUCUCCUUGGACGAAGGAGAAUCAGAGCAUUCGUAGCUCGGCUGACACGCACACAAAAACAGGCAAAGGCAAACGUGGAGCCCGAAUGCCAAUCACUGGACUUACAUCAGCAUCCAAAC
This 253-nucleotide long non-coding RNA is filed under the name Lathyrus oleraceus (garden pea). Its description in RNAcentral is "Pisum sativum (pea) long non-coding RNA (PSAT_LNC030106)". The record is from RNAcentral. Lineage: Eukaryota; Viridiplantae; Streptophyta; Magnoliopsida; Fabales; Fabaceae.